CUUGAAUCACUUACACUAGAGUCUGUCUCAAAGCAAAGACUUUGAGGUCCUUUGACAGAUACUAGUACAUGCAAAGAGAGAUAAUCCUAUAUUUGGCAUUAAAAUAUGCACUCAUGUUCAUUUACUGCCCGCAGAGCACACAGCCUCACAUGUCAUUAACACAUGCUAACACACACAGGUGUAGCACAUACUGACAUAAACAGGCCCACUCUCACAAAUAUAUACUAACUAACACAGACAUAUUCACCCACUGAUACUGCCAUGCUGAGGCCUACAGGUGAUUUUUCAUCUUAUAGGAGCACUGAACUUGUUCAUUGCUUGAUAGACAG
Molecule: non-coding RNA, 329 nt
Organism: Pelobates cultripes (western spadefoot toad)
Lineage: Eukaryota; Metazoa; Chordata; Amphibia; Anura; Pelobatidae
Source: the annotation of a GenBank genome assembly